AGCGAACGCUGGCGGCAGGCUUAACACAUGCAAGUCGAACGCUCGUAGCAAUACGGGCGUGGCAGACGGGUGAGUAACGCGUGGGAAUAUGCCUUUUGGUUCGGAAUAACUCAGGGAAACUUGAGCUAAUACCGGAUAAGCCCGUGAGGGGAUAGAUUUAUCGCCAAAAGCUUAGCCCGCGUCCGAUUAGCUAGUUGGUGAGGUAAUGGCUCACCAAGGCGACGAUCGGUACCUGGUCUGAGAGGAUGAUCAGCCACAUUGGGACUGAGACACGGCCCAAACUCCUACGGGAGGCAGCAGGGGGGAAUCGCGGACAAGGGGCGCAAGCCUGAUCCAGCCAUGCCGCGUGAGUGAUUAAGGCCUUAGGGUGGUAAAGCUCUUUUGUCCGGGAAGAUAAUGACGGUACCGGAAGAAUAAGCCCCGGCUAACUGCGUGCCAGCAGCCGCCGUAA
RNAcentral lists this ribosomal RNA (451 nucleotides) under uncultured bacterium. Its description in RNAcentral is "partial 16S ribosomal RNA". It matches the Rfam family "Bacterial small subunit ribosomal RNA", at positions 29 to 523 of the family's 1533-position model. The record is from RNAcentral.